CAUGCUAAUACCGCAUACGCCCUACGGGGGAAAGGAGGGGAUCUUCGGACCUUUCGCUAUCAGAUGAGCCUGCGUGAGAUUAGCUAGUUGGUGGGGUAAAGGCUCACCAAGGCGACGAUCUCUAGCUGGUCUGAGAGGAUGAUCAGCCACACUGGGACUGAGACACGGCCCAGACUCCUACGGGAGGCAGCAGUGGGGAAUAUUGGACAAUGGGCGCAAGCCUGAUCCAGCCAUGCCGCGUGUGUGAAGAAGGCCUUCGGGUUGUAAAGCACUUUCAGAGGUGAGGAAGGGUGCGUAGUUAAUACCUGCGUACUUUGACGUUAACCUCAGGAGAAGCACCGGCUAACUCUGUGCCAGCAGCCGCGGUAAUACAGAGGGUGCGAGCGUUA
RNAcentral lists this ribosomal RNA (389 nucleotides) under uncultured Marinomonas sp. RNAcentral describes it as "bacterial SSU rRNA". It matches the Rfam family "Bacterial small subunit ribosomal RNA", at positions 159 to 543 of the family's 1533-position model. The record is from RNAcentral. Lineage: Bacteria; Pseudomonadati; Pseudomonadota; Gammaproteobacteria; Oceanospirillales; Oceanospirillaceae.